AAGCAAGCUCUCUAUUGGGAUAUAUAAACAGACAUAAACUGGCAGUUCUCUAAGUGUGGUCUGAUGACCACUGGUGGCCCUUAAAGAUCCUCCAGGUGGCCUUUGGGCUUGUCUCGUAAUUUUGGUACUUAAGUAUAACCGGCUUUUAUACUUUCUCUGUAGUCUAGAAUAAAUGGCUUUAUAACUCUCAUUAAUGUCUCUUUAAAAACAGCAUCUCUAAAUCAUUUUGGUCAGGAUAUGUGGUCUAUGAUGCCCUGUGCCAACAGGAAAUGGUCUGUGAGCCAGAAAUACAGAAGAUGCCCUGGAAUCACAUGGAUGGACACUUUAGCCUCAUAUUCAUUAAGGAAGAAGAGUCAUUGGAUUGAGUGCUCCUUGGAUGUACUGGUUCUCAAAAGAUAAUAAAGCCUUCAGACUUUGAUGACCAGAUGCUGCUGGCACCUGACUAUAAGCUUGACACAUAGAGCAUGAUGGGAUGAAGAGGAACAUUUGGAAAGUAUAUCAUAUUUGUUGGCAACACCAAGAUAUCAGAGGUAGGAAUGAUAGAGGUUUUUAUAUUAACAGCAUAGCUUAUAGGUCCUCUUAUCCCAGUAUCCAGUAAUUUGCACCACUGGACCAAGGGAGCCUUUCAUCUGAUUCCAAAAUGAAGCCAUCUCUAGGGGAAGUCUAGCAGCUAUUUUUACGGCUCACAAUUGGAUGGAAAACGUAUUAAGUAUUAGAGGAAAUUAAGUGUAUCUGCUUAAUAUUUUCUCAGGAGUUCAGAGCACAAGAUUAUCUAAACAGGGGCCUCUUUAAGCCUCUAUGUUAAAAACUUUGGAAUUUCAAACGCCGUAAAUCAUUCCAGUGGGCUUCCACUUGUGGUCUCCUAUAAUAUUGGACUGUUGGAGCUGCGUCGUCCUGAAUCAGCAUUCUUCCAGCUGGGAUGGAAGCAUUAGUUUGAAAGUGUGCCUUUUUGACAUUACCUGGAUUGGUUUGAAACUCACCUCCCCACCUCCCUGUCCUCCCAUCUCUUUUCCAUCCAUCAUCAUCAUGGAUAGCGGAUUCUGCUACUGCCCCACCCCGAAUGCCUUUGCCAGGUGAUGCAUCCAUCCUUCAGGUAUUUGGGGUUCUUCCUGGAGAAUUGUCAGUAGUUGAUGGGAGCUACCUGCUGGGGCUGUGACAGUGUCACCCUUCCCCUCACCCUCCUAUUUGGCCAAUGAUUGACAGGUUUAGAUAUAUAAAAUUCUUGAGGGGCUCCUCUGGUGGCUCAGUGGCAAAGAAUCUGUCUGCCAAUGCAGGAAACAUGGGUUCAGUCCCUGGUCUGGGAAGAUCCCACAUGCUGUGGAACAAGUACUGAGUUGCUCUAGAGCCUGGGAGCUGCAACGACUGAGCCCAUGUGCUACAACUACUGGAGAGUACAUGCCCUAGGGCCCAUGCUCCACGACAAGAGAAGCUUUUUCCUAAUAAGGUUUGGAAAGGUUUUCCUUUUCUGUAACAAGUCACGUAUAUCUGAAGCCCUGUCAUAGACUUAGUUUUUUAGGGUCUCCUACCCAAGGCAUGGAUUUCCCAGUGCACAAGUGGUAAAGAACCCGCCUGCCAAUGCAGGAGACUUAAGAGACUUGGGUUGGAUCCCUAGGUUCGGAAGAUCCCCUGGAGAAGGAAAUGGUAACCCACUCCAAUAUUCUUGCCCUGAGAAUUCCCAUGGACAGAGGAACCUGGAGGGCCACAGUCCAUGGGGUCACAAAGAGUCAGAUAUAACUAAAGUGACUUAGUAUAGCACAGCACCCAAGGCACGCUGAUUAUCAACAAUGAUAUCCAUAUGAUGAGAUAAUUCCAAGAGCAAUUCUAUUGAGUCAAAAGCAUGAGAAAAGUCCCUAUCAAGGUUUAUACAGAAAGACAAAUGGAGAAGUUGGGCGGUUAUCAGUCAGCCCCAGCAUCUAAAGAAACCAAAAUUUAAGGUAAGACUGUAAGAAAAAAGAACUCAUCAGUGAUAGGUUACUUGAAAGAUUUUAAAGAAUCUGGUGGAGACUACAGAGACAGAUAAAAAAUGUUGGAUUACAAAAAUGCUAACACAUAUGAAUGAAAAAACUCUGGAAACAUAGAGAAGUAGAAAAAUAAUAUCAGAAUCACCUGGAAUCCUACUAUCCAGAUAUAAUUAUUUUAGAUAUAUUUCAUUACAGUUUCUUUCUAUCAUUUAUCUAUGUUUGUAUUUUAUUCAUAUGUAUUAAUUUACAUACAUUUAUGCAUUGGGAAUUGCUACGUAUACAAUUUAAUAUCCUGU
This is a long non-coding RNA of Capra hircus (goat), 2257 nucleotides long. The record is from Ensembl. Lineage: Eukaryota; Metazoa; Chordata; Mammalia; Artiodactyla; Bovidae.